RNAcentral lists this ribosomal RNA (678 nucleotides) under Nigrograna mackinnonii. RNAcentral's name for it is "LSU rRNA". It matches the Rfam family "Eukaryotic large subunit ribosomal RNA", at positions 171 to 867 of the family's 3401-position model. The record is from RNAcentral. Lineage: Eukaryota; Fungi; Ascomycota; Dothideomycetes; Pleosporales; Nigrogranaceae.
UGGCUGCGGUCUAAGUUCCUUGGAACAGGACGUCACAGAGGGUGAGAAUCCCGUACGUGGUCGACAGUCUUCACCGUGUAAAGCCCCUUCGACGAGUCGAGUUGUUUGGGAAUGCAGCUCUAAAUGGGAGGUAAAUUUCUUCUAAAGCUAAAUAUUGGCCAGAGACCGAUAGCGCACAAGUAGAGUGAUCGAAAGAUGAAAAGCACUUUGGAAAGAGAGUCAAAAAGCACGUGAAAUUGUUGAAAGGGAAGCGCUUGCAAUCAGACUUGCCUGUAGUUGCUCAUCUGGACUCUUGUCCGGUGCACUCUUCUGCGGGCAGGCCAGCAUCAGUUCAGGCGGCUGGAUAAAGGCCUCUAUCACGUAUCUUCCUUCGGGAUGACCUUAUAGGGGAGGUGUAAUGCAGCCAGCCUGGAUUGAGGUCCGCGCAUCUGCUAGGAUGCUGGCGUAAUGAUUGUAAGCGGCCCGUCUUGAAACACGGACCAAGGAGUCUAACAUCUAUGCGAGUGUUUGGGUGUCAAGCCCGGACGCGCAAUGAAAGUGAACGGAGGUGGGAACCCUCACGGGUGCACCAUCGACCGAUCCUGAUGUCUUCGGAUGGAUUUGAGUAAGAGCAUAGCUGUUGGGACCCGAAAGAUGGUGAACUAUGCCUGAAUAGGGUGAAGCCAGAGGAAACUCUGG